This 253-nucleotide ribosomal RNA is filed under the name uncultured bacterium. Its description in RNAcentral is "partial 16S ribosomal RNA". It matches the Rfam family "Bacterial small subunit ribosomal RNA", at positions 524 to 776 of the family's 1533-position model. The record is from RNAcentral.
UACAGAGGUCUCAAGCGUUGUUCGGAUUCAUUGGGCGUAAAGGGUGUGUAGGUGGCGCGCUAAGUCGGGUGUGAAAUUUCGGAGCUUAACUCUGAAACUGCAUUCGAUACUGGCGUGCUUGAGGACUGGAGAGGAGACUGGAAUUCAUGGUGUAGCAGUGAAAUGCGUAGAGAUCAUGAGGAAGACCAGUGGCGAAGGCGGGUCUCUGGACAGUUCCUGACACUGAGGCACGAAGGCCAGGGGAGCAAACGGG